GACGAACGCUGGCGGCGCGCCUAACACAUGCAAGUCGAACGAGCGAGAGAGAGCUUGCUUUCUUGAGCGAGUGGCGAACGGGUGAGUAACGCGUGAGGAACCUGCCUCAAAGAGGGGGACAACAGUUGGAAACGACUGCUAAUACCGCAUAAGCCCACGGUGCCGCAUGGCACAGAGGGAAAAGGAGCAAUCCGCUUUGAGAUGGCCUCGCGUCCGAUUAGCUAGUUGGUGAGGUAACGGCCCACCAAGGCGACGAUCGGUAGCCGGACUGAGAGGUUGAACGGCCACAUUGGGACUGAGACACGGCCCAGACUCCUACGGGAGGCAGCAGUGGGGAAUAUUGCACAAUGGGGGAAACCCUGAUGCAGCGACGCCGCGUGGAGGAAGAAGGUCUUCGAAUUGUAAACUCCUGUUGUUGGGGAAGAUAAUGACGGUACCCAACAAGGAAGUGACGGCUAACUACGUG
Molecule: ribosomal RNA, 466 nt
Filed under: uncultured bacterium
Lineage: Bacteria
Description: partial 16S ribosomal RNA
Rfam family: Bacterial small subunit ribosomal RNA
Source: RNAcentral